Molecule: ribosomal RNA, 279 nt
Filed under: uncultured bacterium
Lineage: Bacteria
Description: partial 16S ribosomal RNA
Rfam family: Bacterial small subunit ribosomal RNA
Source: RNAcentral
UGCCAGCCGCCGCGGUAAGACAGAGGGUGCAAACGUUGUUCGGAUUUACUGGGCGUAAAGCGCGUGUAGGCGGCUAAGCAAGUCGGAUGUGAAAUCCCGGGGCUCAACCUCGGAAGUGCAUCCGAAACUGCAUAGCUAGAGUCCCGGAGAGGGAAGUGGAAUGCUCGGUGUAGAGGUGAAAUUCGUAGAUAUCGAGCAGAACACCAGUGGCGAAGGCGACUUCCUGGACGGUGACUGACGCUGAGACGCGAAAGCGUGGGGAGCAAACAGGAUUAGAUA